RNAcentral lists this ribosomal RNA (516 nucleotides) under uncultured bacterium. RNAcentral describes it as "partial 16S ribosomal RNA". It matches the Rfam family "Bacterial small subunit ribosomal RNA", at positions 28 to 523 of the family's 1533-position model. The record is from RNAcentral.
GACGAACGCUGGCGGCGUGCCUGACACAUGCAAGUCGAACGGAGAUUUUAUUUAUGAAAUCUUAGUGGCGAACGGGUGAGUAACGCGUAGACAACCUGCCUUUUAGAUGGGGACAACACCGCGAAAGUGGUGCUAAUACCGAAUGUUGUAUUUUGGUCGCAUGAUUGAGAUACUAAAGAUGGCCUCUAUUUAUAAGCCAUCACUAAAAGAUGGGUCUGCGUCUGAUUAGCUAGUUGGUGAGGUAAUGGCUCACCAAGGCGACGAUCAGUAGCCGGUCUGAGAGGAUGAACGGCCACACUGGGACUGAGACACGGCCCAGACUCCUACGGGAGGCAGCAGUGGGGAAUCUUCCGCAAUGGACGAAAGUCUGACGGAGCAACGCCGCGUGAGUGAAGAAGGUUUUCGGAUCGUAAAACUCUGUUUUCAGGGACGAAUGUGCGAUGUGUAAAUAAUGCAUUGUAAUGACGGUACCUGAGUAGAAAGCCACGGCUAACUACGUGCCAGCCGCCGCAGUAA